RNAcentral lists this transfer RNA (71 nucleotides) under Stegodyphus mimosarum. It matches the Rfam family "tRNA". From Rfam's summary of the family: Transfer RNA (tRNA) molecules are approximately 80 nucleotides in length. Their secondary structure includes four short double-helical elements and three loops (D, anti-codon, and T loops). Further hydrogen bonds mediate the characteristic L-shaped molecular structure. tRNAs have two regions of fundamental functional importance: the anti-codon, which is responsible for specific mRNA codon recognition, and the 3' end, to which the tRNAs corresponding amino acid is attached (by aminoacyl-tRNA synthetases). tRNAs cope with the degeneracy of the genetic code in two manners: having more than one tRNA (with a specific anti-codon) for a particular amino acid; and 'wobble' base-pairing, i.e. permitting non-standard base-pairing at the 3rd anti-codon position. The record is from Rfam by way of RNAcentral. Lineage: Eukaryota; Metazoa; Arthropoda; Arachnida; Araneae; Eresidae.
GCCUUCGUGGUGUAACGGUAGCACACUCGGCGCGUAUUCGAGAGGUCCAGGUUCGAGACCUGGCAUGGGCA